GUUACGGAAAUAAUAUAAUCCUAAAAAUUGGAUAUGGAAAGUAUCCGAUGUAUGUAUCCAAACCCAUUUUAAUAUCUAAUUUUGAAGUAUCUAAUUAUGAAAAUUGGGUUAAUUUUGACCCUACUCGUAUUAUAUUUUGUACUUCUCUUUGACUAAUAUAGAGAUAUAGAGAUAUGAUUCAACGACUAAUUGCUAUUCGUAUCAUUUGACCUGCUAGUCUUUACCUCGUAUUAACUUUUAUUUAGUUUGUUAUCAAAGACACAAUUAAUUUGAGUCAACGACCAAUAAACUGAUUGCUAGCCAUAUAUGAUAGAAUAUACUUUUGUAUGAAGAAGAGACUAAGUUUUACUUAUGUUUUAUAAAGUUUUUACUUGCAUUUCAUAAAGUUUUUACUUAUGUUUUACAUAUGUUUUACUUAAGGUUAGCGACCACUCACCUUACAAUUAUCAACCUUUAAUUUGUUACCUUUUUCUAAGUAUGAGUUUCGUGAUUACAUUCUUCUCACUUGUUCUUCCUCUUCUUCUAAAAAUGAUACACAAUGAUGAAACUUUGGUUGUUGUUACCGAGAAUGAAGAACCUGAAGACGACAGUGAGAGGACGACGACAACGUCUCAUUGAACGUUUUCGUCGACUCUUCACCCGAGCACUCCGGACUCGAAGACGUUCCGUAUCAGUUUCCGGUUAUUGUUCCUGCGGAUCCCCAGACAUUCCCGUUUUCAUUCAAUCUUGAAUGCAAGAUAUAUUUUGGGGAAUUCCACCCCGGGACUCUUCACCGAUCACUUGGGAAUUGAAGAUCUAACUGAUCAACUUCCCGUUCUUAUUCCAGUUGAUCCCCAGAAUAUCCCGUUCCCAUUCAACGUUGAAUGUGGGAUUUGUUUGGGCAAAUUCAUCUUGGAGGAGAUCUUUUGGCGUAUAUCCCUUGUUUACAUACUUUUCACUUUUCAUUUUUCCUCGUAUUAUUAAUGAUUUUAGAAAUCGUGUUUGUAUCUGAAAAUCUGGAUAUUCGUUAAAAACUAUUAUUCGCAAAUAACUGCGAAUAUUCGUAAAUAUGUAAAAAAUAUAUAUUGAAAUGACGUAUAUUUUAGACCAAAAUACCGAAUAUUAUCUAAAUACUAGAUAUUUCAAAUAUUAUAUAUGUAUCUAAAUACUGGAUCUGUAUUUUUAAAUAUCGGGUAUCCAGGUUAAAAAAAGAUAUUUGAUAUCCGUUUUUAAAAACCGAAUUAUCCGUAUAUGUAACCGAAAAUCUCAUUUUACUAUUUGUAUAAGCUUUUGUGGAAAUCAUUUUUUUAAGACAAAAACAGAUACAUAUAUAACAUCAUAAGGAGGUGGGGCACGUGCCCUAUAUUAAUAACUUCCCAAUUAGUGAGCUUGCAAUAAUGUCUAUUUAGCUUUUUUGGUAAAAGAUUCUCCAUGUAUUAACCUGUGACCAGGGUUCGAAACCCCAAAUCUCAGAUUUUUUUUCAUUUUUUAUUAUUUUUUCUGCUUUAUUUACGGAUUUUAUGCCUCAAUCUCUCCUUCAUUUGAAAACAUAAAAAGACCCAAAAUAAAAAUAUCAAACCUCUAAUUUUAUUUCAUGAACAAAUAAUAUUUUCCACUAAAAUCGUGACAUGAUCUUAAGAAUGACAUUAAUUAGCACUAGGGAUGGACGCGCACAUACGUACGAGGUUGAUUACAAAACCUAUGUUUAUCAUAAAUCUGCAAUAUUCGGAUCGACAUGAUAAGAGACGGAUCGAGUGUCAGAAUAAUCAUUGAACCUUCCACCCGGCGUUUCUUCUUCAAAGCUGAGCUGAACCACUUUUCCCAAAGUCUCUUCUUUUCUUCAUCGAAGAGCGCCCUACCUUACCACUUGACUUUGUCUUUCAUUUUGAGCAGCAUUGGCAAAGCACAGAUGAACCGGUGAAACGAAUUAAUGAUAAGUUAAAAAUCAAUUAAAUUCUUGAAUUAUCACAUCAUAUAAAAACAAUGAAAAA
RNAcentral lists this long non-coding RNA (1970 nucleotides) under Capsella grandiflora. Its description in RNAcentral is "long non-coding RNA (CGRA_LNC000952)". The record is from RNAcentral. Lineage: Eukaryota; Viridiplantae; Streptophyta; Magnoliopsida; Brassicales; Brassicaceae.